UGAGUUUCUUGGUUUGUGUGACUUGGACUGAGUGUUAAGAUCUUUUGGUUAUGUGGUGUAUCCCUCGUUUUUUGUCCAGGAUCAUAUCCUUUUGUGGCGUCCUUCCUUGUCCAACCAAUUUGUUAGGUUCUUAUAUGAAUAUAUGGGAGAAAUAGAGAAUAAUUGAAUGGAAUAAUAAAAGAAUGAAUCGAUUGUAAAAUAAUAAUGAAAGUAACAACUGAUGGUGAAUACCAAUCAGCCCCUAAAGCACAUAGUGCUUCCCUCCCAAGAUGGUGAAUCCUAAUUGAUUCCUUGAUACCUAAGAUCCUACCUUUCGUGUCCUCCUUUUAUAGGGCCACAAGCUUAUUCCUAUUUUAUCGAAACAAACCCCCCUGAAUUAAAAUAACAAACUUCUUAACUAAGUCUAAUUCACAUUAAUCCUCUAACAAACUCCUAAUGAUUAUUUUCUUAUAUCCUUUAUCUUCUCUUGUAACCUCCAAACCUUUGUUUGGCCCACUGUCAGGCCCACCCACUUGAUCCAUCUUUCUAUCAAUUCCCCGCCUCCAUAGAAACGCUUGUCCUCAAUGGCAAAAAUCUGGAAAUUGACCCACUGGCAACACUGCAUUACUCCUCCCAUGUCACAUCCGUUCCAUUGUCUAAUGUGCCUCCAUUUUAUGAGACCUUGUGCUGCACCAGUCACUCCUCCUUCAAGUCACCCUAAGACGCCCAUGACCUUCUAGGGACACUAUCACUGUCAAUCUGUGAGUUCCAAAUCUUUGGGACGUUCGCCUAGAACCUGAUAGUCUCCCACUGUUCCUUCAAUGUGUACAUGAAAAACUGGAUUUGGAUCCGUGGACUGAUCAGCAGUGUAGCCUAUAUGCCACUUCUCCAAUCCUUAGCUAUAAUUGAAAGCCUAUAAAAACGUGGCCGCUAAUUUUAUUGAUCCGUUUAACGCAUUGACUGCUGUCUGUGACGCGUCUUAAGUUUAAAAAAAACCCAUUCCACCCACCUGAAAAAACGCACAUCUCCUUUCCUUCUUGUUAGCAUUCACGCUCCCAUCCUUUCUUGCGCUCUUGUAGAUCUAGUGAUUAAGUUGUCGUUAGAGCCUCAUGCUUCUAUUUAGCUCUAAUGCCACCGCAACCACCUUAGUCCAUUUUAUCAAACGAGCAGAAAUACUAGGAGGAUGCCUUCCCAUAAACACUUCAAACGGAGUUCUCCCAAUCGACACAUGAUAGUGGUAUUGUACCAAACUCAGCCCACGAAGCCGAAGUUGACCAAGUUUUGGGUGUUGAUCUAGAAGCAAACAACAUCUUCAAAUCGCUUUCGCAGACAUUCUAUUUAUCACUUCCGUUUGCCCAUCCGUUUCUGGAUGAUAGCAAAAACUCAUCUGCACUUUAGUGCGCCUUGCAGUUUAAUAAUUCCAACCAAAAAUGGCUCACGAAUAAGGGUCCUGUCACGAUAAGGGACUUUUGGAAUUCCAUGAAGCCACACUAUUUCUUUUAGCAACAUUCAGCAAUGGACUUAGACUGUGUAACGAUGCUUGAGCAAUAUGAAGUGACUGUAGCUUAGACAACGGCUAUCCACAACCACCAGUAACAGCCUCAUAACCUUAGACUUAGGCAAACCCGUAAUGAAAUCUAGCGAAGAUCCUCCAAAUACCAUUAGGAAUGGGGAGAGUUGUAGCAAACCUCCGGGAGUAGUGGCCACAUACUUUGUCUUUGACAGAUAUCACAAGCACGCAGCAAUUCUCUCACGACUUCUGCAUUCCAGCCAAUAUAAAUUAUCCGCCAGCUUCCGAUAAGUUCUCACGAAACGCUGAAUGUCCACAGUAGGAUGCAAUGAAAUUCCUCCAACAGUGAGGGAUAGAUGGGGACUUAGGAGAAAGAACCAGCCUGCCAUGAAUAACAAACACACACUUGCCUUAACAGAAUAGCCUGGCUUAGAAUCAGGAAGCGACAACACGGUUCUUGUAUCAUCGUCUGAUUCUUCUGGAUCAUCUUUCACUCCAUCUAAUUUUUUUUGCUAUCGCGUCCAUUGUCGGUAACGAAACAAGGUACCCAAUCAGCAUCGUCAUCACGUCUGGAUAGCAAUCAGCAACUUUGUUAUCCAUCCCUGGUUUGUACUUCACCUCAAACUGAUAGCCAAGCAACUUAGCCAACCAACACUCUGGUCUGGGAAGUUAUUCUCUGCUUGCAGGAAGUGUUUAGACUCUUGUGAUCCGUGUAUCUCUGAAUGCUUUCCACAAGUAGUCGUCGCCAAUGCUGGAUGCACAAUACCAAGGCCAUACGCUCUUUUCAUACACCGAACUUUGCUAAAUUGCCUUGAGAUAAUGCCUUUGCUAAAAAAACGCUACAGUUUCCUUUGCUGCAUUAACACUGCUCCGAUACUCUACCAGCUGCGUCACAUUCCACUUCCAGGGUAAAGAGAAAAUUAGGUAAUACCAAAUCAGCGGGGUGAAAGUCAUGAUAAUCUUCAUCAAUUGGUGAAAAGCUGCAGUUGCCCUGCUGUUCCCGCACGCAAAGUAUCCUUCUUGGUCAGCUCAUCAAAGCUUGCCCACUGCCAUAAUCCUUAAUAAAUUUUCUAUGUACCCAGUAAUGUCCAAAAUCCACGAACUCCUUUUACAUUCUUUGGUUUUCUCGGCCAAGUCCAAAAUGCCCUUAACUGUUCGCAGGGAUCUACUGCUAAGCCGGCCUUUAGCUGAUGAUAAUGUGCCGCCAAGUAUCCAAGGUAUUGCACAGCCCAAACUCUUACACUCUAGGCUUGAUUUGGAUAAAACAGUUUCAAGUAAAACAGAAAGAACCAUGACAUAAGUGCUUUCUGAUGCUCUUGGAAUUCUUACUUAUGAAGUCGUCAAAAAAAACUAAGACAAAUUUCCUCUGAAAAAGAGGGCUAAAAGUAUGCAAUGGUUUCUUGGAACGUGGUGGGAUUCAUUAACUCCAAAUGGAUCACAGAGAUACUCAUAGUGCCAGUUGUGAGUUCUAAAAAGCUGUUUUUGGGAAGUAUAUAUGUCAUGCCACGCCUGAUUUGAUGAUAACCGGACCUAAGAGUCAAUCUUCGAAAACAAGUGAGCUCGUACGUAUAAUUCAAUGCAAUAAUUCGUCUACGAUGGGAAUAGGGUAACUUGUAUUGGAACUGUAGCGUUUGUUAAAGCGGCUCUGUAAUGCCACAAGCACAUUCUCCAACUUUACUUUCUUGUUUUACCAAAAUACACCGGAGCUAGAGAAAGCGCUCAUACUGGGUCUGAUCACCUCCUGCCUGCAACAGUUCAGUCACUUGUUUCUCAAUCUCUCCUUCUGAUGGUGAGGAUACGCGGUAGGGCCUAACAUUGAUUGUUUCCAGAUUUGGAAAUAAUUUGAUAUGAGUGCACUUGAGAUCUCUCCGGAGGCAGCUGAAUUUGAUUUUUAAAAACUGCAGGAAAUUGUUCCAGAAUCGCAAUUACUUCUGUUGGCACAGAGAUCUCGCCAGCUUCCAAUUGGUGAUGCUGAGAUCCCCAUCAUUCAGUUCCCAUCCUAUUCAGCUUGUCAUCCAAAAAGGAGUUCAGAUAACUAUGCUCCUCUUGCCUGCUACCUUGACCCAACACCUUAACCAUCUGCCCCUCAUACAUGAACUGCAUAGACAACACCAACACCUUCCAAUCCAUUAUUACCUUUCCUAGUGUGCUCAGCCACGAGACUCCCAAUACUAUAUCCAAACCUCCCAGAUCCAGUACCAACACAUCAAUGACUACUUUCACAGAACCCAUCUUUAUUACAAUUCCUUUGGACACCCCUUGAGAAUUCACCCUAUGUCCAUCUCCAAGUUUGAUGCUCUUGGCAGGGUCAGGAGUGAUUUCUAACCCCAACGCAUUUGUUACUUGAGGGGAGAUGAAAUUGUGGCUCGCACCACUAAGCUAGUUGUGAUUGUGUAGGUGUAAAAGUUAAAAAGGGAGUAUUUUCAUGGUACGAUUUCCACUCAUACUUCCCAACACACCCAUGGAUUGACAUUCUACCUCCUCCCCCUCUUCCUCGUCAGUUUGCACUUCUUCCAUAGAUACGACUUCACCUUCAUCGUUAAGAGUUUCUCCUUCACCCAAAAUCAAUACUCGUAAGGAUCUCUCAGGACACUUAUGGAGAGUAGGGUGAUACUUUCCACCGCACUUGAAACACAGCCCCUUCGCCCCUCUCUCAUCCAUCUCGUCGUUGCGAAUGCUGCGAAUCCCUUUCCCUUUUUCAGGUCGCGAAUCAUUCUCACCCUUUUUCCCAGAUGAAGCUAACGACGUCGUAGACAGCGUGUUAGAUCCACUUGAUUCUGUUUUCUGAGUCGGAUUGGCCCAACUGGAACGACUUGUCUCUUUCAGAUUUGACCCGUUCCUGUUCCGAAAAGUUGGCCCGGCCCAAUCACUACGGCCCCAUCGAUCCUGCCCUCCUUUUUUGCUACCGUAUCUGCCCGUGUCAUCAUCAUUUUCUCUCAACUCUUCCUCUACGUCUUUUGCAAUACGCAUCAUCUGCAUCCGAUUCAGAGGAUUGAAAGUCCGAACCCUACGACGAAUUUGUGGCUUCAAACCACUCAUAAAAUAACCGCAGAUAUUGUUCCUCUGGAAGUCUCUCCACUUGUGACGACAAAAGCUUCAAAAAGCUCCAAAAAUCUUCUACACUACCCCAUGUUUAACGUGGAAUAAUUCUCAAAAGGAUUUCCAGAGCGUCUUCGCUCGCAUAGCCGUGUAAUCAGGGGUGGACCCUUUUGUCGAACUUGUCCAGCCAGAGACAGACUGCCUAUGUUUCCAGUCGAGAAAGGUUAAACCAGAUUGUAUUGUGAGAACUUCCAUACGCCGCUCAACUGAACUCAUGUCCGCCAUCUCAUCAGUCGAUUCUGGCACAUGCCAAAUAGAUGCUCAGCUCGUGUGAUCCAACCUGCAACAGGAUCGUCUCCUCAAAUAUGGCAAUUUCGAACCUUUUGCUCCCGUGACAAACGUGAUUCCUCAUAGUGAAGACUCACCAUGGACCCCCACUCUCGAUUUCGUAAUGUUUCUGAGCGAUGAUCUGUUUGCAUAAAAUCAGAGAGAGACGGUGAGCCUUUGUUGUGCACUCGAUUGAGCAGGGUACGUACUGGAGUUGUGUGCUUUGACGUCCACAUAGUUGUUUCGCAGCGUCAACGCAUCUGUGUUUCCACAACGCGUCCAUACGAUCCCCCAUCUUGGGCUUUCGUGCAUCUACAAUUUCGGUGUGGGGUGAUUUGUUUUGAUCCGGUAGAGUCGGAACCCAAUUGUUAGGUUCUUAUGAUGAUAUAUGGGAAAAAUGAGAGAAUAUAUUGAAUGAAUAAUAAAGAAUGAAUCGAUUGUAAAAUAAUAAUGAAAUUAACCAACUGAUCGGUGAAUACCAAUCAGCCCCUAAGCACACAGUGCUUCCCUCACCAAAGAUGGUGAAUCCUAAAUUGAUUUCCUUGAUACUAAAUCCACCUUUUUGUCCUCUUAUGCCACAAGCUUAUUCCUAUUUUAUCGAAACAAACCCCCCUAAUUAAAAUAAGCAAACUUCCCUGUAAUAACUAAGUACCAUACGAUAACUCUAACAACUCCUAUGAUUAUUUCUAUUCUUUUUAUUCUUUUACUUCUCUCUGUAAACAGCAUCCAAACCUUUGGGUUUGGGCCCACGUGUCANACCCAUGGGACCCCCACUCUCCUGAUUCGUAUUCUUCUGACCGAUCUGUUUGCAUAAAUCAGAGAGAACAGCGCUUUGUUGUUGCAUCUGUUGAGCUAACGUCUGCAGUGUUGCUUUGACGUCCACCAUCUGUGUUUCGACGUCAACCAUCUGUGUUUCCAACGCGUCCAUACGAUCCCCCAUCUUGGGCUUUCGUGGCAUCUACAAUUUCGGUGUGGUGGUGAUUUUUUUGAUCCGGUAGGUCGGACCAAUUGUUAGGUUCUUAUAUGAAUAUAUGGAAGAAAUAGAGAAUAAUUGAAUGGAAUAAUAAAAGAAUGAAUCGAUUGUAAAAUAAUAAUGAAAUUAACAACUGAUGGUGAAUACCAAUCAGCCCCUAAGCACACAGUGCUUCCCUCACCAAGAUGGUGAAUCCUAAUUGAUUUCCUUGAUACUUAAAUCCUACCUUUCUGUCCUCUUUUAUAGCCACAAGCUUAUUCCUAUUUUAUC
Molecule: long non-coding RNA, 6098 nt
Filed under: Lathyrus oleraceus (garden pea)
Lineage: Eukaryota; Viridiplantae; Streptophyta; Magnoliopsida; Fabales; Fabaceae
Description: Pisum sativum (pea) long non-coding RNA (PSAT_LNC009380)
Source: RNAcentral